Struthio camelus australis is the source of this 2226-nucleotide long non-coding RNA. Lineage: Eukaryota; Metazoa; Chordata; Aves; Struthioniformes; Struthionidae. The record is from Ensembl.
GAACAGAAUGAAUCCAAGAGCCGGAAUAGAAGUAACAGCAAAGGAAGAUGGCAUAGGUAUACUCAUACCAGGCUGAUAACCAAGCUUAACAACUAUAUUCUAGUGUUUGUAAAAAUUCAUGACCCUAAGUAGGGUGCUAACACCUUCCCUUGAUAAAAGGAAAAGAAAGAAAGAGAAAACGGUAAAAUCUAUGCAUAAGUGUAACAAUUGUUGAUUCAAGUUAAAGUGUAAAGUUGACUGGUUAUUACAGAGAAGACAGGGAGAUAUGGAAGAAAAAAAAGGUGACAACUAUAUUUGAAGCUCCUAUGAAGGGGAAUAUUCCAGCUUGAGGAAGAAAGAUAACCAUUAAUAGCAAUCUUUCAUCUUCAAUAUGUAACAUAGAAAACCAAGUAUCCCAUUUCAAUCUUAUAGAUAGUGCUAUACAUAUGUUAUGUCCAUGCAUAUGUGUGUAUUUAUGAGUAUCACUAUAUAGUUUAUGAAAGAAGUUGCACAAUGUUGAGAGAGAGAAAUUGCUGACAAACUCGCACAAACCCUCCCUUCUGUGAGAUCUGGGCCUAACUACAAGGGCUGAAUAGCCUUAAAACUCAACUGCAAACGUUAUAUUAACCUGGAGAACAAGUUUGCAUUACCAGAGAGGUAGAUCCUCUCACAGGCAUAAAUCUCGUAUGCCACUAACCUUUCUGGCUUGGAUGCCUGCCCAAGACCUGUGUUUGUUCUUUUUCUUUCUUUCUUUCUUUCUUUUUUUUUUUUUUUUUUUCUUCUAGACUCAUGAAUUGCAUGUGGACUGACCCUCAGGACUAUGCCGAACUGGAGCAUCCACAAGGACUGUGGUCUGGCAUUGAUCGAUUGGAUAAUGAGCUAAGCCCAGGAAGGAUAAAAGGAAGUAAGCCACAUACCUCUGGUGUGGACUCGGACUCACCGUCAGCUGGCCUGCGGACCCGACAACCCACCCAUCAGCGGGGACGCCCCUGAUGCCAACUGCCAGGGAGAACCUGAAUCAUCUUGGUGCAGCUCGAGCGUGGAAAUGUAUGCUGUUGGCCGAAGGAUCUGCAUCUCUUUUGCUUCUUCACUGGAGUGCUGAGUCCAGAAGGCUGGAGUCAGAAAGGCUGAGGGAGCUGGGCCUGUUCAGCCUGGAGAAGAGAAGGCUCAGGGGGGAUCUGCUCAAUGCGUACAAGUAUCUGAAGGGGGAGUGUCAAGAGGAUGGGGCCAGACUCUUCUCAGUGGUGCCCAGGGACAGGACGAGAGGCAACGGGCACGAACUGAAACACAGGAAGGUCCAUCUGAACAUGAGGAAAAACUUCUUUCCUGUGAGGGUGACAGAGCAUUGGAACAGGUUGCCCAGAGAGGUAGUGGAGUCUCCUUCCCUGGAGAUAUUCAAAACCCGUCUGGACGCAAUCCUGGGCAAUGUGCUCUAGAGGACCCUGCUUGAGCAGGGAGGUUGGACUAGAUGAUCUCCAGAGGUCCCUUCCAACCUCAACCAUUCUGUGAAUACUUUGCUAGCAAAGGUAGGUCUAAUAUUCAUUAGAGCAAGAUGCAGCAUGGGGUUAUCACACUGUCUUUAAACAAAGUGGCUAACUCUCCUGUGGCUCUAGUACUAACAAAGCAAGGAGUGGGGCUGAAGUUUUUAUUUCCUUUUGCUAAGUGGCAUUGCUAAGUCAUUCCAUUCCUUGUGUGCGGUAGGCCAGUCACAACGUAGGACUGUAUGUAUAUUUGCAGAUGGACAGGGCUUACAGAUGAAGUCUCUUCUUCACGCUAUUCUUCCUGAACCUCAGGCCUGCCUGAAUUCUUCCUUCCAAUAGCUCCCUCCAUCAAAUAUUUUCCAGUCACCUAAAAAUGCCCUUAUUCCACCACAGGGACAUCCAAUUCUGAACAUGUGUCUCAGCUGGCAGCAAGCAAGGGCAUCCCUACUUCUCUCUCCUCUGACUAGCUCUUUCUUUGGAAUAGGCAGAAAGUCCAGCCUUUCAAAGCAAGAGAAAUGUUCAAAGCCUGUGAUUUCUCUAAGAGGUAAGUGGAUGGAUCGGGCAAAUUCUUCCAUAGUUUCCUCUAACAUCUUAAGAACAUCUUUAAGGCUGAGGCUAAAAUUUCAGUAACCCUUAGGCUUGAAUCUUAACACUUGAAACUCAUAUAUGUAUUCUUAUUAAAUGCUAGUGGAACAGAAGCCUGUGCCGAUGACUGUCCCAAGUAAAGAAAAUAAUCCAAACCUAGUAGCUGUGGAGUGGGCUCCCC